Molecule: long non-coding RNA, 4027 nt
Organism: Seriola aureovittata
Lineage: Eukaryota; Metazoa; Chordata; Actinopteri; Carangiformes; Carangidae
Exons: 2
Source: RefSeq, a predicted model, not a curated record
CAGGUCUCCGGCACAAUCGCGCUGUUCCGCUGGCUCGUAGUAGCAGAGCGAAAAUGGCGUAGAGCGGAGGGUGUGCGGAGAAGGGGACGAGGGGACCUUCUUCUCUCCUCUCCGGCGUGUAGAGGGAGGGAGGGAGGGAGGGAGGGGGAGGCGGGGGAGAGAAGGCCCCCGGAGGUUUUCGGUUUAUUGUUUUUUUAAAUGUGUCGUCACCCGGUGCGGUCCCUCUGCACAGAUAAACCCGGCAUACGUCCACUUCAGGGGACCUAAAUGUGUCACUGUGGAGGAAGAACCCCCCCCGGCUUUUGUUUACCAUUGUGUGCAGCUGCAGCUCAGACCACAGCCGAAAUAUCUCUGCACCAUUUCGGACCAACUCACACCAAGGAAGGGUUUCCCAGUGAAUGCAGUUGGGAAACCAGAUGAAGCCCAGACUGGAGGAACAUUUCCCUUCAGAUCAACCUGAGCACCAUUGAUGGAUCACUCCCACCACCACCCAGACCUGUGGAGGUAAAGAACAAGGAGUCAGUGGGAAGAUGACCUCUUUUGGGGUUUUGGGACUCGGGCGCCCUCCUUCCUGCUGUUGCUGGGACACUGGCCCUCUCUCCUCCACAGCAUCCCCUCUCGGCCUGGCCUGUUUCUGCAGCUUGAUCGUCGGUGAGGACAACAUCCAAGAUUUCGGGCUGGUCUGACUUCCACCACACACAAUCUGACUAUGUCUACAUGUAGCCUGACGCUGGCUGAAAAGCCAUGGAGUUUCUGCACUGGCUGUAUGUGUCUGAAAGUCUCCAUGUUUUGGGCCUUUUCAGUCAGAUUGGGGUUGUAUUCUUUUCAGGCUGCAUGUAAAUGUAGUAGCUAAAAAAAAAUCCCCACUUUCGCUGUAAGAAGAUCAAAGCAGUUUGAUAAUGAACAAACUAAGUGCUCCUGGUUUCUGGGAAGAAAGUAAAGACACAAGAUACUGUAGCAAAGAUCAAGGCUUGUGAUUGAAUUAGACUCGUAGGGUGUGUUUUUGUUUUUUUGUUCUUUUGCACUACCUCAUUGUCAUAACAAGUCCAACAGGAGUGAAAGGGAGUGCGAUCAGUACAAGUAGCUAAAUGGUUGUCAAGCGCCACAGCAGUUUUAUAUAUAUAUAUAUAUAUAUAUAUAGUUCCUGGAUGAAUUUGGUUUUAGUCGUAGAGGAUUAGUUAGUGAGGGUGUCAACAGGUGAAUAGGAGAAGACCAAGCAGCCCACAAGCACAGGAUGCACACCGCCAUUUACUUUCAGUUCAGCCAUUUUGGGAAAAAACACUGUCUCACUCAAACUAUGGUCUCCUGUGCAUCUGUUCUAAAGGAAGGUCACGAGAUCGUAUUUUUACUCCAUGCUCUCAUUUUUAGCAUUUGGGAUUUGUAGUGCUCUCCCUCGUCAAGUCUGCAGGUUUAUUCACAAACUGCAGGUAGAGACAGAAUUGCAGAUAUUUCCCUUGUGACUUAACCCCAAAAAAUUGGCAAUUUAUAGUAUUUAAAGUAGGUCUUUUAUUAUGAAAAUCUAGUCCAGUUUCCCUCCCGUAGAAUACUCUUCAUUAAGGUUUUUGUCUUUUCCCCCUUUAACAUCCUAAUGCGUAUAUUCUUAUUUUAUCCUUUUCUUGCUUUAACACGUUCUCAUUUUGUUGUUUCCCCUUUAACAUUAGCUCUCAUUAGUUCAUGUUUUGAAAUCAUAUUAGUGAUAUAUCAAGAUCAUUUUAACACGAUUGCAGAAGAGACAGAAUUGAAUUUGAUUCCUUUUGUUUCAUGAACCAUGAGACAAAAUCAUCCAGAAAUGAAGAGAAAACACCACGUUUUGUCUCUAAUCUGCUGUUUCGAUGUGUCCAGUAAACUGAGCUGAAAUAGCAGCUUUAAUUCACCAUGUAUUUGUCCUUAUCUGAGGGAAACCCUGGUAUCAUUUUUUCCACCUUUCUUUGUUCAUUUUUACAUGAUUUAUACAAAAAAAAAUCAAAUUUUCCGGGAUUUGUGCAAUAUUUGAUCUUAACUGUCAUGUUGUUGACCAAACUGUAUAUUGUAUAAACAAGUGACAAGUUGUUUGAAAGCAACAAAAUCACCAAUGUCUUCCAUUAAGAUAUGUAUAGACUCGUGCAUUAGCUUAUUUAGCGGGACUGUGGUGCCAACAUUAUAGUAGCCAUGCAUGACCAGUAGUGAUGCUUGCUUCAUGAAGAAUAAUGAAACCGACUUCUAGACUAAGCUGGAGCUCGAAACCGUGGAAUCCAUUUCAGUCAAAUUAAAGGGUGGUAGACUGACGUACUAAACCUUUAACUCCACCACAUCUAGAGACAGCUGUGCCCUCAAAUCUUAGACUAAUGCAAGAUCUCCUCCUUUACUCCACGUCUAGGUCGUGUAAUGAAAACAUUAACUGAAGUGUGACACGAUCAGGAUAUGCAGUUAUAAAGUAUUGAUUUACAUAGGCGUAUAUUCUCAGUAUAAGUUAGUGCUUUCUAACAGACCUGCUGUAGGUUCUUAAGAUUCUUAUCUUUAAAAUAAAAAAAGCUGAAGAGAUAUUCUAAAAUGUGCUCAUGCACUCUCAAGCAUCCAAAGAGUUAGGUAGAGAAGAGACAUCCAAGAGGCUCCCAGGAGACAAGUCUCAAACGUGACAACGAUAGAAACCUUCAGAGAAACGCUAUAUUAUUAAGAGUGUAAUUAAUCCUAGAUUUGGAUCUGAUUGGUAGAGAUCCAACGUGGUGUUUUAGUCCUAGAAUUAAGAUCUCACCAUGACAUUGUAUUGUACAUAAUACCUCAUAGUUUUGGGAUUCAGAGCGUUAUAUUUCAAUCCAUAAAAUUGUAUUUGAUUAGUUUUAGAAGCAAUAACCUACUAUAAUGCAUGAGUUUAGUGCCAGGGUGUACGUGUUAAAAGGACCCCCCCCCCCCUCUCUCUCUUUUAUGCCUAUGGUAGCUGUUCAUCCAUUGGUCACUUUUUUGGGGAGUGGUAUAAUAUUUGGUUUUAAAAUGGUUUUAAAAUACAGUAUCACUUCUGAAGGUUUGGGAAACGUCCUGCAGAACAAGGUGUGAGGACUUCUGUAGCAUAACGGUAUUACACUGACAAAUUUAACUAAAUACUUCUAUUUUUCAGAGACUAUUUUCCCUGCCUCCUGUUCUUUCAGCACAAAAACAAUAAUCUAAACCGAUCAGUACAUGAGAGAUGCUUUACAUUUUAACACUUGUAGCAUUUUACAUCCACUGAACCCUUCCUUUAGAAACAGGCUUUCAGUAACUCUGUGGCUGCAAAGUACUUACUGAACGAACUUGACACUUGUUUGAAAAGCACUUUCUCUCUAUGUACUGACUUGCACCAUCAUCAUCAUCAUCGUCAUCAUCAUCACCACCAUCAUUCUGUCUUGAAUAAUGUGUUCUAAAAACCCUGUAAUGCUCUUUGUGGGGAUUUAUAAUCACAGUUUAUAAGCAAAUAGGCGUCUAGCAACAUGAAUAUAUGGGUUUAAAAAAUAUGCAUGACUUAGCAGAAUAAUGAAUGAUUUGUAUUGCAUGCAAUAAUCCAACUUUGUAAUGUGAAUGGGUGUAAUUAGGAUAUUGAAAUGUUCAUAUCAGAUGUUCUGUGACAAGGUGACAACUUGGGGACGGUUGAUUGACACGACAACAAGCAUGUUGAAGUAGCUUUGAUCAUCAGUUGUGGUUUUUACAGACUAAACAGCACCAAAAGAAGAAGUAGUGGAGAGCAGUUUGAAGUGUUUCUGCUCUCACUGUCUGUUGUGUCAAACAUGGCCCUGGCAGAACUGCCACAGUGCAGCUGAAAAACACUGACCAACCUUUGUUCCGCAUGAAAAAAAAAAAAAAGAAAACACAAAAGCCUAGGUAAGAAGAUUAAUGACAUUACUUUGUUAAUCAACUUUUCCACUGAGGAAGUGGACUGUGUAGAAACUAUGCACUCCAGACGGGGGAAGUGGGCAUGCUUAUUAUGUGUGAGCCUCUUGUCUGGUUUUGUAUUAACUAAAAAAAAAAAUGAAUCUGUAUCAGAAAUUCAGCAAUAAAAUGCAGCAUGGUGCCAAUUGGA